The sequence is a ribosomal RNA, 403 nucleotides long. It matches the Rfam family "Eukaryotic small subunit ribosomal RNA", at positions 582 to 975 of the family's 1831-position model.
AUUCCAGCUCCAAUAGCGUAUAUUAAAGUUGUUGCAGUUAAAAAGCUCGUAGUUGGAUUUCUGAAUGAAAUAUCCGGUCCGCUUGUCUUUGAUGAGUGUGUACUUUAGAUAUUUGGUUCAUUUUUUGUGAGGAAAUUUAUCUGUCAUUAAGUUGAUGGAUUUAUAGACUUGCAUCAUUUACUGUGAAAAAAUUAGAGUGUUUAAAACAGGCGUUUGCCCAUUUGAAUACAUUAGCAUGGAAUAAUAAGAUAUGACUUUGGUGGUCUAUUUUGUUGGUUUGCACACCAGAGUAAUGAUUAAUAGGGACAGUUGGGGGUAUUCAUAUUUCAACGUCAGAGGUGAAAUUCUUAGAUCGUUGAAAGAUGAGCUUAGGCGAAAGCAUUUACCAUGGAUGUUUUCAUCG